AUUGAACGCUGGCGGCAGGCCUAACACAUGCAAGUCGAGCGAGCGGCGGACGGGUGAGUAAUGUAUGGGGAACUGCCCGAUAGAGGGGGAUAACUACUGGAAACGGUGGCUAAUACCGCAUACUAUCGGAUGAACCCAUAUGGGAUUAGCUAGUAGGUUGGGUAACGGCUCACCUAGGCGACGAUCCCUAGCUGGUCUGAGAGGAUGAUCAGCCACACUGGAACUGAGACACGGCCCAGACUCCUACGGGAGGCAGCAGUGGGGAAUAUUGCACAAUGGGCGCAAGCCUGAUGCAGCCAUGCCGCGUGUAUGAAGAAGGCCUUCGGGUUGUAAAGUACUUUCAGCGAGGAGGCGUUACUCGCAGAAGAAGCACCGGCUAACUCCGUGCCAGCAGCCGCGGUAAUUC
RNAcentral lists this ribosomal RNA (406 nucleotides) under uncultured bacterium. Its description in RNAcentral is "partial 16S ribosomal RNA". It matches the Rfam family "Bacterial small subunit ribosomal RNA", at positions 30 to 526 of the family's 1533-position model. The record is from RNAcentral.